This is a non-coding RNA of Halocaridina rubra (Hawaiian volcano shrimp), 73 nucleotides long. NCBI's taxonomy places the organism in Eukaryota, Metazoa, Arthropoda, Malacostraca, Decapoda, Atyidae. The record is from the annotation of a GenBank genome assembly.
ACCUUUUGUGGUGUAGUUGGUAGCGCCUUGAUUUAGUAAUUAAAAGUCCUAGGUUCAAGUCCCGGUCGGGGUA